ACGAACGUUAGCGGCGCGCUUAACACAUGCAAGUCGAGCGAGAAAGGGAGCAAUCCCCGGUACAGCGGCGCACGGGUGAGUAACACGUAGGUAAUCUGCCUUCGAGUGGGGGAUAACCUUCCGAAAGGAGGGCUAAUACCGCAUAAGACCACGCCUUCGAGAGGGGGAGAGGUCAAAGCCGGCCACUAUGCAUAAGCUGGCGCUUGGAGAUGAGCCUGCGGCCCAUCAGCUAGUUGGUAGGGUAAUGGCCUACCAAGGCUAAGACGGGUAGCUGGUCUGAGAGGAUGAUCAGCCACACUGGAACUGAGACACGGUCCAGACUCCUACGGGAGGCAGCAGUGGGGAAUCUUGCGCAAUGGGCGAAAGCCUGACGCAGCGACGCCGCGUGGGUGAUGAAGGCCUUCGGGUUGUAAAGCCCUGUGGAGGGGACGAAUAAGUCAUGGCUAAUAUCCAUGGUGAUGACGGUACCC
Molecule: ribosomal RNA, 470 nt
Filed under: uncultured bacterium
Lineage: Bacteria
Description: bacterial SSU rRNA
Rfam family: Bacterial small subunit ribosomal RNA
Source: RNAcentral